AAUCCCUUUGUUGUUAAAACUACCUUGUUGCUUUGGCGGGACCGCUCGGUUCCGAGCCGCUGGGGAUUCGUCCCAGGCGAGUGCCCGCCAGAGUUAAACCAAACUCUUGUUAUUAAACCGGUCGUCUGAGUUAAAAUUUUGAAUAAAUCAAAACUUUCAACAACGGAUCUCUUGGUUCUCGCAUCGAUGAAGAACGCAGCGAAAUGCGAUAAGUAAUGUGAAUUGCAGAAUUCAGUGAAUCAUCGAAUCUUUGAACGCACAUUGCGCCCCUUGGUAUUCCGAGGGGCAUGCCUGUUCGAGCGUCAUUACACCACUCAAGCUAUGCUUGGUAUUGGGCGUCGUCCUUAGUUGGGCGCGCCUUAAAGACCUCGGCGAGGCCUCACCGGCUUUAGGCGUAGUAGAAUUUAUUCGAACGUCUGUCAAUGGAGAGGACUUCUGCCGACUGAAACCUUUAUUUUUUACAGGUUGACCUCGGAUCAGGUAGGGAUACCCGCUGAACUUAAGCAUAUCAAUAAGCGGAGGAA
Molecule: unclassified non-coding RNA, 524 nt
Filed under: Aureobasidium sp. N5
Lineage: Eukaryota; Fungi; Ascomycota; Dothideomycetes; Dothideales; Saccotheciaceae
Description: sequence contains ITS1, 5.8S rRNA gene, ITS2
Rfam family: 5.8S ribosomal RNA (bases 152-305)
Source: RNAcentral